CGACGAGUUUGAUCAUGGCUCAGGAUGAACGCUAGCGGAAGGCCUAAUACAUGCAAGUCGAACGGGCAUAUUGAUUUCGGUUGAUAUGUUAGUGGCGCACGGGUGAGUAACGCGUACACAACCUGCCUUAUAUUGGGGGAUAGCCCUGGGAAACUGGGAGUAAUACCGCAUAAUAUUAUUGAGAGGCAUCUUUUGAUAAUUAAAGCUGAGGCGAUAUAAGAUGGGUGUGCGUCUGAUUAGGUAGUUGGUAGGGUAACGGCCUACCAAGCCGACGAUCAGUAGGGGGUGUGAGAGCAUGGCCCCCCCACACGGGUACUGAGACACGGACCCGACUCCUACGGGAGGCAGCAGUGAGGAAUAUUGCGCAAUGGGCGAAAGCCUGACGCAGCGACGCCGCGUGGGGGAUGAAGGUUUUCGGAUUGUAAACCCCUUUCAUGAGGAAAGAUAAAGUGGGUAACCACUUAGACGGUACCUCAAGAAGAAGCCACGGCUAACUUCGUG
RNAcentral lists this ribosomal RNA (501 nucleotides) under uncultured bacterium. RNAcentral describes it as "bacterial SSU rRNA". It matches the Rfam family "Bacterial small subunit ribosomal RNA", at positions 1 to 507 of the family's 1533-position model. The record is from RNAcentral.